GUACUCCACCCCCAGGAGGAGAACGGACUCCGACGGGGAGACCGGGCCGAAGGAAACUGGACCCAGGUGCAAGUGGUUGUCUGAGCGCUCAGAGCCCAAUAAGCUCUCUUGGAAGAGGCCGUUCCCGAGGAGCCAACAGAGGCAGGGCUUUGUGCAUGGCCGGGCAGCCGGCUACCUCCAGCCCAGCCAGCGGCUGCGCGGCGCCGGGCUCGGCUUGGAGGCAAAGCCGCUACGGAGCGGAGAGCGGCGCCUUCCUUAGGGUUCAGAAGGAGUAGAUCAGUCAGCUGCAGAAUCUUGGACAGAAGAGGCAGUGCCGCCCCAGGCAGGAAGCGCAUUGCUCGCCCCGCUCCCCUUAUCCUUUCAGAGAGGCGCAUAUGGAGACUGGGAAGUGUUAAAGAGCCCUGGCUGGAGCAAGGUGAAGGGCUGCAACAGGAUCCAUUGCAAAGAAGGCCCAGAAAUGGAAGACUGUCUUUUCUUACUCAAGAAAGUACCUCUUCAAGUCAGCAACUGGUUUGAUUGAAUGAGGGCAAUGAAACUAGUCCGUGGUGAAAAUUUUUUAAGAAGAAAGUGUCGGUCCGUUGUGAAUCAUGCACACACAGCACUGAACGAACAGAACCUACUGCAGCCUGUGUGCAACGAGAAAUUUCAGCUGGAUGACUGCAUGAGGGGUUUACAAGACCGCUGAAAGCUUGGGACCUGAAGUACAGAAGACAUCAAGAGAGACCGCUGCAGCUUAAGGCUAACCCAGCUAGUGCAGCAUUUUUAUGCUGGAUGCCAGCACAGUAAAGUGGGUCACUGCCCCACAAGAAGGAAUACUUCCUGGAACUGUAAUGUGGUGCUGUGCAGCACAGCUGGACAGCUGGGCCAUGCUUCUAAGCAGACCUGCGUGAUUGGUCUCAUGUGCUUCAUCCUGGGUCUGACUUGGAACAGGAGGGAGUGAUGUGACACACACUGUGCUGAUUUGACAUCCUGCGUGGUUGUGACAUGGUGCAUCCUCCAGAAGAAAUCCACAUGUUCCUCUACAGGCACAAAUCUGACUGUUCCCCUGAUAAGCUCUUCACUGGAAAGAUACAAUUUGGAUGGUUCUCUUCAAAGCCAGUGUGUGUGUUCAUUUAUUGGAAGUGUGUCAGACACCGUAUGUCAAUAAUAUGCCUUUGAUAUGUUGGUGUCGGUAUCAUUUUUUUUAACAGCUGAAUGGCAUGUAUUUAAACAUGAGCACCUGUUCUGUGUUUGUACUGAUUCUUUUCUUUAUUCCUGUAUUUACUCUUGACGAAGAGUUUGAUUCAAACCCAGGAAAAGUGUGGGAUUCAUCCUGUUUUUAAAGAAACGCUGUUUUCAUAGUAUUUCAGCGUGUAGCCAGUGUGUAUCUUUCCAUAGAUGAGAAGGGUAUUGAAAAGAGAGUAUUUUCCCUUUCAGUAACUAGAACAAACUCAUUUUCCAGGCAAAAUGAAAUUUGAUUAGAAGUCUGUCAAAUGAAAGGAUUAUUGUUUUAGUGUUGGGCAGGUUCUGUAAUACAUGAAUUUACUGAAAAGCAGCACAUGU
This is a long non-coding RNA of Pezoporus occidentalis (night parrot), 1542 nucleotides long. RefSeq lists it as uncharacterized. The transcript has 6 exons. The record is from RefSeq and is a predicted model, not a curated record. NCBI's taxonomy places the organism in Eukaryota, Metazoa, Chordata, Aves, Psittaciformes, Psittacidae.